GGAUGAACGCUGGCGGCGUGCUAAUACAUGCAAGUCGAGCGAACAGAUAAGGAGCUUGCUCCUUUGACGUUAGCGGCGGACGGGUGAGUAACACGUGGGUAACCUACCUAUAAGACUGGAAUAACUCCGGGAAACCGGGGCUAAUGCCGGAUAACAUAUAGAACCGCAUGGUUCUAUAGUGAAAGAUGGUUUUGCUAUCACUUAUAGAUGGACCCGCGCCGUAUUAGCUAGUUGGUAAGGUAACGGCUUACCAAGGCGACGAUACGUAGCCGACCUGAGAGGGUGAUCGGCCACACUGGAACUGAGACACGGUCCAGACUCCUACGGGAGGCAGCAGUAGGGAAUCUUCCGCAAUGGGCGAAAGCCUGACGGAGCAACGCCGCGUGAGUGAUGAAGGGUUUCGGCUCGUAAAACUCUGUUAUUAGGGAAGAACAUAUGUGUAAAGUAACUGUGCACAUCUUGACGGUACCUAAUCAGAAAAGCCACGGCUAACUACGUGCCAGCAGCCGCGGUAAUACGUAGGUGGCAAGCGUUAUCCGGAAUUAUUGGGCGUAAAGCGCGCGUAGGCGGUUUCUUAAGUCUGAUGUGAAAGCCCACGGCUCAACCCGUGGAGGGUCAUUGGAAACUGGGAAACUUGAGUGCAGAAGAGGAAAGUGGAAUUCCAUGUGUAGCGGUGAAAUGCGCAGAGAUAUGGAGGAACACCAGUGGCGAAGGCGACUUUCUGGUCUGUAACUGACGCUGAUGUGCGAAAGCGUGGGGAUCAAACAGGAUUAGAUACCCUGGUAGUCCACGCCGUAAACGAUGAGUGCUAAGUGUUAGGGGGUUUCCGCCCCUUAGUGCUGCAGCUAACGCAUUAAGCACUCCGCCUGGGGAGUACGACCGCAAGGUUGAAACUCAAAGGAAUUGACGGGGACCCGCACAAGCGGUGGAGCAUGUGGUUUAAUUCGAAGCAACGCGAAGAACCUUACCAAAUCUUGACAUCCUUUGACCACUCUAGAGAUAGAGCUUUCCCCUUCGGGGGACAAAGUGACAGGUGGUGCAUGGUUGUCGUCAGCUCGUGUCGUGAGAUGUUGGGUUAAGUCCCGCAACGAGCGCAACCCUUAAGCUUAGUUGCCAUCAUUAAGUUGGGCACUCUAGGUUGACUGCCGGUGACAAACCGGAGGAAGGUGGGGAUGACGUCAAAUCAUCAUGCCCCUUAUGAUUUGGGCUACACACGUGCUACAAUGGACAAUACAAAGGGCAGCUAAACCGCGAGGUCAUGCAAAUCCCAUAAAGUUGUUCUCAGUUCGGAUUGUAGUCUGCAACUCGACUACAUGAAGCUGGAAUCGCUAGUAAUCGUAGAUCAGCAUGCUACGGUGAAUACGUUCCCGGGUCUUGUACACACCGCCCGUCACACCACGAGAGUUUGUAACACCCGAAGCCGGUGGAGUAACCAUUUAUGGAGCUAGCC
This 1450-nucleotide ribosomal RNA is filed under the name bacterium. RNAcentral describes it as "bacterial SSU rRNA". It matches the Rfam family "Bacterial small subunit ribosomal RNA". The record is from RNAcentral.